This is a long non-coding RNA of Malaclemys terrapin pileata, 1655 nucleotides long. RefSeq lists it as uncharacterized. The transcript has 12 exons. The record is from RefSeq and is a predicted model, not a curated record. NCBI's taxonomy places the organism in Eukaryota, Metazoa, Chordata, Testudines, Emydidae.
CAGAGCGGGGCCGGAAGUUGUCGGAAGAGGAAGUGAUAUCAGCGGUCUGGACGCCAACCGCGUUUGCAGAGGAAUCGUCCAGGAGCCCUAGCUGGACAGGAAUAUGGCAGAAGUGGACCUGAGCAGCCUGGACAUCCUUCUAAGGAGACAUGAAUAGUUCUCGUGUUUCUGCCUUCCACAUUAGUGGCUCUGCUCUUACAGAGGAAUUGUUGUUCAGGAGCCCUAGGCAGAGGAGAAGCUGGCAGAAGUGGAUCUGAGCAGCUUGGACAUCCUUCUAAGCAGAUAUGAACAGUCCUCAGCUUUCUGCCUCCCUCAUAACUACACUUCACAACUUUUAGCGGCACGGCUGAAGCCUAAGAUAAAUGCAUGGUAGUAGCUGAGUACACACGGCUGCUUCUCUUUAGUAGGAAGGAGAAAGAAGUCAAGGGUAAGAGCCCACCCCCGGUGUGAGAUGGAAGGCACGCAAGAGCCAUGAGACAGUGAGCAUUGUUGAUGCCAGGCUAUGGCGAUGCCAUCUAGCUGGAAACGGAGCAGCCGUCACUGUCAGUGAGCUAAGUGUCUGGUUUGGUGAGGAGUCUGGUCACGGCCCACAUGGCUCCAGGCAGGGAUGCGCCGUUAGCUUGGUCUGUGUUUGUAAGAAAAGGUUCCCGUCUAGCUGUGGCUACGAGGGAGACAAGGUCCCCCGUUAUCAGGGGCUGCUCAUUUUGUCUGGCCAGGAGCGGUGUGUUCAUCGCAGCGAAAGGUUGCAUCUAGGAGGAUGACUCUAGCUGAGGAACAGUCGAGCAGCAGCCGAAGGAAAAGCUGGCAGAGGUGGACCUGAGCAGCCUGGACAUCCUUGUAAGCAGAGAUUAACAGUCCUCCGCUUUCUGCCUUCCGCAUAACUGACUAGGGAGAAUUUCCCAAUAUUGGGAGCAGCUGAUCUUCCUGGACAGGGAGAAGCAUGUUCACCUGAGCAGAGGCCUGGAACCGGAAAGAGGAAUCGCCCAGGACCCCAGCCAGAGGAGAAACUGGAAGAAGUGAACCUGAGCAGCCUGGACAUCCUUGUAAGCAGAGAUGAACAGUCCUCCGCUUUCUGUCUUCUGCAUGACUGGCUCUGCGCUUGCAGAGGAAUUGGCCAGGAGCCACAGCCACAGGAGAAGCUGGCACAAGUGGACCUGAGCAACCUGGAUAUCCUUCUAAGCAGAUAUGAACAGUCCUCAGGUUUCCGCCUCCCAGAUAAUUGGCUCUGAGUAAGAGAGGGAGAAUUUCUCUAUAUUGGGAGCAGUUGAUCUUCCUGGACAGGGAGGAGCAUGUUCACCUGAGCAGAGGCCUGGAACCGGAAAGAGGAAUCGCCCAGGACCCCAGCCAGAGGAGAAACUGGAAGAAGUGAACCUGAGCAGCCUGGACAUCCUUGUAAGCAGAGAUGAACAGUCCUCCGCUUUCUGUCUUCUGCAUGACUGGCUCUGCGCUUGCAGAGGAAUUGGCCAGGAGCCCCAGCCACAGGAGAAGCUGAUACAAGUGGACCUGAGCAACCUGGAAAUCCUUCUAAGCAGAUAUGAACAGUCCCCAGGUUUCCGCCUCCCAGAUAAUUGGCUCUGAGUAAGAGAACGCAGGAGAGCUUGCGGCAGAAGGCGGGUCCAGGUGGAUGCAGAGGACGCGGGCUUUGACUUGGCUGA